This is a long non-coding RNA of Tympanuchus pallidicinctus (lesser prairie-chicken), 4937 nucleotides long. RefSeq lists it as uncharacterized. NCBI's taxonomy places the organism in Eukaryota, Metazoa, Chordata, Aves, Galliformes, Phasianidae. The record is from RefSeq and is a predicted model, not a curated record. The transcript has 2 exons.
GUAGACGCCGCCGUUCUCCAUGGCCGCGCUGCCGAGCCAGCGAGAAGCGAAAGCAAAAGGGCGGCGGCUGGAGCGGCGCGGCAGGGAACUGGAACGGGAAGGCGGAGGCAGCGCCCCGCCCGCCGACGCUGAAACAAAAGCGCUUCCUGCGAGCCCCGUGCACGAGAGCAGGGGCGGGCAGCGGCGAGCCGCUCUGGUGCCGGCGUGUGCCGUCCUUUGCACGGGAGCUGGGACGCAUCCCUGUGAACUUUCACCAGACGGUGGUGGGCGCGACCACAGUAACUCAAGGAGUGUUUGGACGGCGCUCCUAAACGUUGGGUUUGGAUUCUGGAUAGCGCUGUGUGGAGCCGGGGUCGGACUCGAUGGUCUUCGUGGGUCCCUUCCAACUCUGUUCUGUGAUUCCGACGUGCUGCCCUACCUCUGCCCGCACCUAAUUUCAUAGGCAGCUCGUUCUGCCGUGAGGAAAUAGAUGAAGACUUUUGUGUAUAAGCAAAAGUGUACCACAUUGACUUUAAUUAGCGUAUUAUCCACAGAACUAUUAUGGUCCUUCACAGUCAAAUUCAGAUAUACUUUGCUAAGUAUGAUCUACUGAUAGAAAAGCAGCAGUUUGCUUUCUCGGCCUUAGUUCUACUCGUGCUUUGUUUAAGCACAGUCUGUGCUGAAGGAGCCAAGUGAACGGUCACACUGCCCAUCUCAGCCCAGCAGUGCAGGACGUGUGUGCAGCACCGAGAGAUCAGGCACCAUCUGUGCCUGCUGGGAGCCGCCGUGCCUGGACAGCUAAGGCAGAGCAGGUAAAGGCACUUGGGGCGUGCUCUGGGCUACUGUUUGCCAGCAGGCUGUAAAUGGCACCACUCCCUGUAGGAAAACACAACCCAGAGGAACAGUGUGGGAGCCCUGGGCUGGGUGGUGCGGGUGUGUUUGUGCCAGUAACAGUGCCUGUUGCAGGAGCUGGCUUUAGAGGCAAGUGAGUCGGCAAACCUUGUGAUUCCUCAGGCACAGGAGUGCCCAGUGAAAUGAGGAAGGUAUUGCUGUGAGUGCACCACAGCUUCUGCUGGGGGUUGGGACGUGUCUAAUGCAGUUUUGCAUGCAGCAUCCCAGGAGUGCAGGGCUGAGCAGGUAGGUGUAGUGAAUGAUAUUUACUGUUAUGGAUCCAGAGUACUACUGUGCCUUCAUUGCUGGUUUUUUACAUUAGUACGGUGUAAGGAAGGCUGUGUUACAGAGGCUUUUUCUAAAGGAAUUUCCUAUUUUGUUUUGUGUUUAUGUUUCAAAAUUGGCUGAAUGACCACAUGUCCUAUGUAGUGAGACUACUCUUGUCUGAGGGAGACGAGGCUUAAGCAGAUAGAAGCAGUUGUGAGUUCUCCUUAGUAAGUAUUCAGUACCAUCUAAGGAUACCUGCAGCUGUUCCCAGUCUUGUUACCCAUGCCCUAAGGCAGCCUUACAAAAGGAUGAAUGCAGAUGUUACUGCUGAGGACAACUCUUGAAAGGAGCUGCUUCUCAAGGACCAAUAGAGAAACUACACAAAGUUGACUGAAGAUAAAAUAUAUUGUAACCUUUUUCUACUUACUGCUGUUUCCUCAGAUUUGUUUUUCCUGCUCAGGCCUUCAGCAGGAAGUGUAAAAGCUGGCUUGCCAUUUAAAUCCUAGAUUAUUUAGGCUGCUUUCUUUAUUUGUAAGGCAACACAUGGAAAGCAAAACAACCACAAAGAUCCGUAGCAGAGAGGGAAUGAAAACCAGACAGCGUAGGACAAAAUACCUUAAAAACAAUUGCAGCGUUUUGUUAAAACAUGCAAAUGCUGCUGGGCACACAAUCUGGAGCUGUUCCUUACCUUUUCACUAGAACUGUCUUUCAAGUACAGCUUUAAAGUUCACUCCCCUUUAAAGAGGGAAUGCAGAUCAAAACAGUAGUUGUGAUACAUAAUGUCUGUUUAAUGUAAACGACUGCAAUUAGCCAGCUGUGAUGUAAUAGAAAUCCCAUUGCAGAUAGGCACCAUCAAGAAAUCUUACUCAAUUUCUUCUAUUUAUGCAUUGACAGAGUUUUCAAAAAUGAAAGUCUGUCUCACUCAUGCAACCUCUACCAGAAUGGCAAAGCCUGAGCUUAAAGCAGGACACUGCAGCAGAAAGCAGUCCUGGAAUUAGGUUGUAAACUGCCACAACGUCUCCACUCAGCCAAGGAGUAGGAGGUUGGUGGGAGCAGAUUAGUGAUGAGUGACCUACUUUUCUCCCGCAUUACAUCUUCUCCAAAGAUAACCACCACAGUGUCCAUAAAUCAGUACCUAUUAAAUGGAGAAACCUACGUCAUUAGAGGAGAUUACAGCAUAGCUUUAUAACACGGACAUCAGUCCUCACUGCAUUGAAAAAAUUUACAAAAGAAUUGUGACUGGAGUGACAAAACAGUUGAAUAAAUUUCAGCCCCUGGGAUAUGGUGAGUACAGGCCAGGUAUCAUCCCAGAUUUUACGAAGUGAAGCCCCAGUAAACCUUUGGAACUAGCUUCGUUCUGUAUUACAGAAUUACCGAUUAAGCUGAAACAAAUCCUUCACUCCCUUGACCUGACUUCUCACAAAUGAAUUCUCAUUUUCCCACAUUCUGAAAUACAAUUCUGUCCUUUUAUUUUCCUUUGAGGCGAGGAGACUUUCUUUUCAAAAGAGAAAGAAGUAUAAGAAUAGGAAAGCAAUUUAAAAGCCCAAACCACCAAAGGACGCAGGCUCCAUUUCAUUUGAAGAGUGGUGAGGCAGAUCACCACAGAACAAGUUGGGAAACUCCACAGUCAUAGGCAUGGCUCCCUCCUGGCUUUGGUUCCCAUGCAGGCAUCUAACAGCAUCCUUUCACACAAGUUCUCUGCAUGAGAUGACCAGCUAGCCAUGGGAAUCAUAGAGCAAGGUCUGUAACAAGCAGACAAACUCACACAAGACUUGCACACAUUGCAUCUCCUGACUCUUGCUCAGCUCCAAAGGCUCUAUGUCUGGGCUCAGUGUUGCAGCUGAACUUCACAAAGCCUGAGCACUGUGCUAACUAGCCCCAAGGUGGGAUUUUUAAACAGCUGAAGAUCAGGAAUCAGUAUUUCUAACAGCUAUUUCUGAAUAGCCUUCAUGGCACCAAAACAAAUAAAAUGCUCAACUCUCUCCAUGUUUCCCAAAUGCUGGGCUAGGAUAAUUCUUGUUACUGGUUUUCUGCAAUGCAUCUGCAUAAAAAGAAUUCUAAAGCCAUGAGGUAUUUGACAGCCAAUGGUUCUACAACUGCAAAUUAAGUAGUAUUAUUUCAAAAUACAAGAAUCUUGUUUGUUAUAUUUUAGUUUGAUUAAGGGACAGCAUACUUUCUCAUUAUAGGGUUAACCAUACUUAAUACAAUUCAUUCAGAAUACUGAAUAGUGGGCUGGCACGUAGGGACCGCUUACCAUUAAUCGAUUGUUCCAACUGCAGAACUUACAAUUCUGCUGUGAUUCAGCAAAGGUGACGCAUGGAGAAACGCAUGACCUGCUGAUGAAUAACUGCAUGGAGUGAACUGACCUGGAAGGUGGGGCGGGAGAAGCUUCCCAUCAGGGAUGCAGGGCAUGCAUCACCAUCAGAACACUGGGAAAGCUCGACAAUAUAUUAGAAGCCAUCAAACUAGAUGGUUUUUAUUGAUUUUAGAUGGCCUUUUAUUCUUUUUCCGUGGAGGCAGGGACUGGGGAAAACCUUACUAAUGACUCAUUGGAAUUUCACUUCAUAAAAAGAAGUUCUAGAAACAAAAAGUCACUUCUGUGUAUUUAAAACUUGUAAAUAUGUUCCUUCCCUAACCCCUGACUUCUGUUUGGUUCUUAAAGGUUUUUAUUACUAUUAUUUUUCACUAGGGUAAAAGGCUAAGAAAGAACUUUCUCUACCUGGCCUUUCUGUUCAACAGCAUCAAAGUCCUUAGCUUUCCUACUUCAAGUUUAAGUUCUCUUUAGGCUGCCAUCACUAUCUACAGCCUGUUUAUGCUGGCUGGACAGCUUUGACAACAGCAGAUGGAGAAAGUGGAAUUUACCAGAAGCAGCGUGCAAAGCAAGGCUUUGUGAAAGGGCUAUUUCCACUCUUUCAGGCACCAAAGCCACCCAUUGGUGAAAACAAUGAAAGGAUACUUGGAAAGGACACCUCUUCCUUAUUCAUUAUUGUUCUUUGGUGCCCUAAACUGUAGGCCUGUGAGAUUUGCAAUGAUCUCAGUUCUACAAGGAAUAACAGCACCAGUAACAUCAAGUGCAUUUCUAAUCAUUCCUGCAUGCCUUUAAUACCUUUGGUGUUACUAAGUACAAGGCUCUGGCCUAGCACACAAGAAGAGCAGAUGAUGAUUUUUCAUAAAGUAGCAUUUCAAAGUGUUUUGCAGUAUGAAUACUGCAAAACCACUACACAAUAAAGAAGUUACUUUGCACUUUCAGAGCUAAGCCUGUGUAGUUAAGGAACCAGCUACCAAUAAAAUAAACUCUUUUAGGGGAUUUCCUUUCCUCUACAUCCUUAUAUAAUUUCUUUGAUUAGAGUGGUUGUAAUAAACCUGCUCUGCAAAUUUUAAGCUGAAGAUUUGGGGUAAAAGAUCACUAUUUCCAGGCAGUUCUCACAUUUCAGCUGAAAACAUGGCAGUCUCUGAAAUGUGUCUAUGACUUCUCAGUUAUAUAGACAGACUAGCUACUGUACUAACUUUAAAUUUCUACUUACACACCUGAAAUGUAGUUACCAGUCUGUUGGGUUGCAGCCUUUUUCACUGGAAGUGAACCUAAAUUGGAAUUUAAUACAACUAGCAUCACAUUCAAAGUACAGAAGAUGUACUCCUUCAUCAGGAGCCUUUAGAAGUUUCCUAAAUAAGCUGGAGAAAGUAAGGCUUUAUUUAAAAAAUCCAAAACAAAUUACAAAACAAACAAAUGAAAAAAAACAACCACAAAACCUUAAACUCAUUGAAGUUACUUGGUAAUUAUUAGAUUGGGAUAUACUUUU